AGCANCCGCGGUAAUUCCAGCUCCAAUAGCGUAUAUUAAAGUUGUUGCAGUUAAAAAGCUCGUAGUUGAAUUUCGGGGUCAGUAGGUCGGUCGUGCCACUGGUAUGAACUGGUUUUACUGAUUCCUCCCUCUUGAAGAACUGUAAUGCCAUUAAUUUGGUGUUGCAGGGAAUCAGGACUGUUACUUUGAAAAAAUUAGAGUGUUUAAAGCAGGCUUUAGCUUGAAUACAUUAGCAUGGAAUAAUGAAAUAGGACGUUUGAUCCUAUUUUGUUGGUUUCUAGGAUUGACGUAAUGAUUAAUAGGGAUAGUUGGGGGCAUUAGUAUUCAAUUGUCAGAGGUGAAAUUCUUGGAUUUAUUGAAGACUAACUACUGCGAAAGCAUUUGCCAAGGAUGUUUUCAUUAAUCAAGAACGAAAGUUAGGGGAUCGAAGACGAUCAGAUACCGUCGUAGUCUUAACCAUAAACUAUGCCGACUAGGGAUCGGAUGAUGUUAAUUUUUUAAUGACUCA
RNAcentral lists this ribosomal RNA (508 nucleotides) under uncultured fungus. RNAcentral's name for it is "SSU rRNA". It matches the Rfam family "Eukaryotic small subunit ribosomal RNA", at positions 569 to 1078 of the family's 1831-position model. Lineage: Eukaryota; Fungi. The record is from RNAcentral.